This 551-nucleotide ribosomal RNA is filed under the name Elaphurus davidianus (Pere David's deer). Its description in RNAcentral is "partial 16S ribosomal RNA". It matches the Rfam family "Bacterial large subunit ribosomal RNA", at positions 1836 to 2612 of the family's 2925-position model. The record is from RNAcentral. Lineage: Eukaryota; Metazoa; Chordata; Mammalia; Artiodactyla; Cervidae.
AUAACUAGUAUUGGAGGCACUGCCUGCCCAGUGACGACCGUUAAACGGCCGCGGUAUCCUGACCGUGCAAAGGUAGCAUAAUCACUUGUUCUCUAAAUAGGGACUUGUAUGAAUGGCCACACGAGGGUUUUACUGUCUCUUACUUCCAAUCAGUGAAAUUGACCUUCCCGUGAAGAGGCGGGAAUAUAUUAAUAAGACGAGAAGACCCUAUGGAGCUUUAACUACUUAGCCCAAAGAAACAAAUUUCAUUACUAAGGAAACAACAAUACUCUUAGUGGGCUAACAGCUUUGGUUGGGGUGACCUCGGAGAACAAGAAAUCCUCCGAGCGAUUUUAAAGACUAGACCUACAAGUCGAAUCACACAAUCGUUUAUUGAUCCAAAAAUUGAUCAACGGAACAAGUUACCCUAGGGAUAACAGCGCAAUCCUAUUCAAGAGUCCAUAUCGACAAUAGGGUUUACGACCUCGAUGUUGGAUCAGGACAUCCCGAUGGUGCAACCGCUAUCAAAGGUUCGUUUGUUCAACGAUUAAAGUCCUACGUGAUCUGAGUUA